UACGUAGGCAGCAAGCGUUGUUCGGAGUUACUGGGCGUAAAGGGUGCGUAGGCGGUUGUUUAAGUUUGGUGUGAAAUCUCCCGGCUCAACCGGGAGGGUGCGCCGAAUACUGAAUGACUAGAGUGCGGGAGAGGAGAGUGGAAUUCCUGGUGUAGCGGUGAAAUGCGUAGAUAUCGAGAGGAACACCUGCGGCGAAGGCGGGUUGCUGGGCCGACACUGACGCUGAUGCGCGAAAGCCAGGGGAGCGAACGGG
This 253-nucleotide ribosomal RNA is filed under the name uncultured bacterium. RNAcentral describes it as "partial 16S ribosomal RNA". It matches the Rfam family "Bacterial small subunit ribosomal RNA", at positions 524 to 776 of the family's 1533-position model. The record is from RNAcentral.